UUAAGUUCAGCGGGUAUUCCUACCUGAUCCGAGGUCAACCUUGAGAUUUUAAGGGGGGGGUUUUACGGCAGGCGCCCGCCGCUGCUACCGGAGCGAGAAGUGUGCUACUACGCUCGGUGCUACGGCGAGCCCGCCACUGGAUUCAGGGCCUGCGGCAGCCGCAGGUCCCCAACACAAGCCGGGGGCUUGAUGGUUGAAAU
Molecule: unclassified non-coding RNA, 200 nt
Filed under: fungal sp.
Lineage: Eukaryota; Fungi
Description: partial internal transcribed spacer 2
Source: RNAcentral